This 499-nucleotide ribosomal RNA is filed under the name uncultured bacterium. RNAcentral's name for it is "partial 16S ribosomal RNA". It matches the Rfam family "Bacterial small subunit ribosomal RNA", at positions 355 to 845 of the family's 1533-position model. The record is from RNAcentral.
UAGGGAAUCUUCCACAAUGGACGCAAGUCUGAUGGAGCAACGCCGCGUGAGUGAAGAAGGUCUUCGGAUCGUAAAGCUCUGUUGUUGGUGAAGAAGGAUAGAGGCAGUAACUGGUCUUUAUUUGACGGUAAUCAACCAGAAAGUCACGGCUAACUACGUGCCAGCAGCCGCGGUAAUACGUAGGUGGCAAGCGUUGUCCGGAUUUAUUGGGCAUAAAGCGAGCGCAGGCGGAAUGAUAAGUCUGAUGUGAAAGCCCACGGCUCAACCGUGGAACUGCAUCGGAAACUGUCAUUCUUGAGUGCAGAAGAGGAGAGUGGAACUCCAUGUGUAGCGGUGGAAUGCGUAGAUAUAUGGAAGAACACCAGUGGCGAAGGCGGCUCUCUGGUCUGCAACUGACGCUGAGGCUCGAAAGCAUGGGUAGCGAACAGGAUUAGAUACCCUGGUAGUCCAUGCCGUAAACGAUGAGCGCUAGGUGUUGGGGACUUUCCGGUUCUCAGUG